RNAcentral lists this long non-coding RNA (3311 nucleotides) under Sus scrofa (pig). RNAcentral's name for it is "lncRNA (ENSSSCG00040046189.1)". Lineage: Eukaryota; Metazoa; Chordata; Mammalia; Artiodactyla; Suidae. The record is from RNAcentral.
AUUUUUUUGGGCCGCUCCCACGGCAUAUGGAGGUUCCCAGGCUAGGAGUCCAAUCGGAGCUGUAGCCCCUGGCCUAUGCCAGAGCCACAGCAACGCAGGAUCCGAGCCGCGUCUGCAACCUACACCACAGCUCACGGCAAUGCUGGAUCAUUAACCCACUGAGCAAGGGCAGGGACCGAACCCGCAACCUCAUGGUUCCUAGUCAGAUUUGUUAACCACUGCGCCAUGAUGGGAACUCCCCGGCCGCAGUUCUGAUGAAUGCCUCCCAACAAGGAGGUCCCCACAGGUGUUCUGCACACCUCCUUCUGGCGGAUCAAGACAGAGGACACGGAGGAGUGAAGGGGUCUAGAAAGGGCUACACACAGACUGGCCGAGGGGCAGGACCCAGAAGUGGGUGAAACAGGACAACAGGCUCAGAGGAAGUGAAUCCAGCCUCAUGAGCCACGGUGGGGUCCAGGGGGGCCUGCAAACCAGGGAAGGCCAGGCAUGGAGCUGGCAGCUGGAACCGGGUUUCUGGCCUGGUGGUGGAUUUCUUCUCCUCUGGGCACCCAGCCUGCCACCUGUGGCCUCAGAGCAGCCGGCAAAGUGACUGGCCUGGAGCAGGUGCACAGUUAAAGUGUGCGGGAAAGCUAGGCAGGUGAGCUCAGGAGUAAAUGCCCAGCCAGGUCUCCACCACUCAUUGGCAGCCCGUGUGCACAGCUUGGCAGAGGCUCCUUCUCAACACACCAAGGGGGAAAGGAUGCCGGUCUUAAUUAUGGAGAAAGAGGGUAUCCUAGCUGGACAAAAACUGGCUGACCCCUGGCAGGACUGGCGAGCUCACAGCCCUUGCAGAGAAGAAUCUGCAUGAGUAAACACACAUGGAGUUUCUUGUCUCGUGGCUGAGGAAGUUGGGACAGGUUGUUAUUUUGUGUGUCUGUAUCCAUAUUGGUUAAAAAAAUGAAGGCAAAAUAGCAUUUGACAUGGGACUUAAUUGAUACGGUACUAUGUUGGUCUGAUAAUUUUGUACAUAAUUACUAUUACUAGCAAACUCACGGGCAGUGCUGACUGACCGUGCCACAGGGGCUGUUAAGUGCUUAACAUCUUGAACAAUAGUUGUCUGCUUGGGGAUGGGGGAUGGAUAUUGAAGAGAAGAAGCAAAGAGUCACGUGGUCUGAUUGCUUCUGCACUGCAAGGAUCCCUUCUCUAGCAUCCCUAGCAGAGGCCAGCCCGUCUUAACCCAACCUCCGCCCCCGCCCCCCUCCCAAGAGAGCCCGUUUCAUGUGGGAACUGCUCGAGUCCUCAGAAACUUUUCCUUCCCGUAGAAGUGAAAUGAGAUAUCUGCUGCCUGGAGUUCCCCCUGGGGCUCAGUGGACUAUGAGCCUGACUCGUAUCCACAAAGAUUUGGGUUCGUUCCUUGGCCUCGCCCACUGGGCUAAGGAUCUGGGGUUGCCACGAUUUGUGGUGUAGGUCACAGACGCAGCUCGGAUCCUGCGUUGCUGUGGCUGUGGUGUAGACUGGCAGCUACAACUUCAAUUGGACCCUUAGCCUGCAAACCUCCAUAUGCUGUAGGUUCAGCCCUAAACACACACACACACACACACACACACACACACACACACACACACACACACACACACACACACACACGUCUUCUGCCUAAUAGCUCCUCCCCAUUCAACGCCCUUUGGUUUGCUUCCCAGAAUUAUUCAGAGGGCUCCCAUUUCUCUCUCAAGGGACACUCCUUCAACUCUUAGAAGCCCUCCGAGCUGACCGCCUUCCAUUGUCCCCCAGGUCCACUCUGCCCCCCCCCCACCAACUGUCUGCUCUCCUGCCGGGGGAAUCUGACUUGUAGGAAUCAUAUCAAAGCCUCCCAAGCUCUUGGGUUUGCAACUGGGCUUGGACAAUGGGGAGCCCUGGCAGAAAUCAGAAGGAGCAGAGGCGGUCAAGUUUGGGCAUCGCAGUCCCAGCCCGCCUCCUGCACUGUCACCUGAAGCUUCUGGGAACACUGGGAGGUCCUUGUUCCAAUCUAGGUAGCUUUCUCCCUGGAUGGCCUCCCUCUCAUCACUUUCAGCCUCCAGGCGGGAACCCCUUGCCUCCUCUGAAGCCCCAGUUGACUGCACCUGCCUCUGUGAUGCUCUUACAGCCACACCUUUGCAAAGGGUCCUUUGGAAAUAAAUUACCCUUGGAGUGUAUUCUCUGCAGCUCUGACUGACGCCACAGCUUUCCAGUCCCCCAUGUGCUGUCCCCUCCUUAAGUAAAAGCUCAGUAUAACUGGCCAUUCCAUUUUCAACCCUCAUCAUCUUGAGGGGAGAUUAUCUGGAAUGCCAUACUCAUCUCCCAAAUUCAAUAACAACCUUUGGCCAGAAGCAUUCAAAUUCCGUCUCUUUUAUCUGCCAUUGCCUGAAGCAAAACCUAUUUGAGGGACCCUUCGGCUGGAGUCCGCCAGACCACGGGGCUGAUACAGCAAAGUGUGCAGGGUUACCUUACGAAGCAUCCUCUCGCUCCCCACCUGCCUCUGCAAAUAGGUGAGCGCGGGGAAAACAGAAGGAGCGGCAGCUCCCAGUUUCCGAGUGAUGGGGGUUGCGACCUGUUUCCUGGAUUCUCACUCAGCACCUCCUCUUUUAACACCUCCUCCCACCCCUUCUGGAUAAGAAUUAAUAACACCUACGACACAGGACGAGGGGCCGGUGGUCGGUCACACCGCUUUUCAGAGGGCAGCCCAUGCUCAAAGGAAGGACGUGGCUCUGCCCAUCUUCCCAGCUAAGUGCACCUCCCUGUACACCGGCACCAGCAGAUUCUCUCUAGAUGCAGAGGUGAGGCUGGCCGUUUAUGUCCAAGCUGGCUCACUGGAUCCUCACUCAUGCAGGUGAGGCCCUGAUGGAUGGGGAGUCACGACUGCUGUUCACCUCACUUUCUGAUUGUCCCCUCUUUGGUCACAUGGCAAGACCGUGCGUCUGGGCUCCCUCAGGGCUGCGAGGGACCAUGUGAUGAGUUCUGGCCAAUGAGCAUGAAGAGAAGUGCUACCGCCAGGCUGCUGCUUUGCCCAUGCAAGACCUUCCCAAGGUUUCUUUCCCUCUGUCACUGUCCCUGCACAGUUCCUGGGAGGCUCCUUCCGUCUGGGUCCUGGAGUGAGGAGGAGGAUGGUGAUGGGGCAGCCGUGCCCACCUGGCUGACAGGGCAGGGACACAAGAGUGGGAGCAGGAAACAGACCUUGGCUGUUGUAAGAUUGCAAAGAUUGGGGGUUUGUGUCUAUCUUGGCUCAGAGAGGGGCAUCUGGAGGUUUGUGGGUGAGUAACGGCCUCCGUCCAAGUCUGGGCCAGACAGUUCCAUGG